AAAGGCCCCUUCGGGGGCCGAGUAGAGUGGCGUCCGGGUGAGUAACACGUAGGUAAUCUACCUCUGGGUGGGGAAUAACGACCGGAAACGGUCGCUAAUACCGCAUAAUGCAGCGGCACCACAUGGUGACAGUUGUUAAAGCGGGGGAUCGCAAGACCUCGCGCCUAGAGAGGAGCCUGCGGCGGAUUAGCUAGUUGGCAGGGUAACGGCCUACCAAGGCGACGAUCCGUAGCCGGCCUGAGAGGGCGGUCGGCCACACUGGCACUGACAUACGGGCCAGACUCCUACGGGAGGCAGCAGUCGGGAAUUUUGGGCAAUGGGCGAAAGCCUGACCCAGCAACGCCGCGUGAAGGAUGAAGCUUUUCGGAGUGUAAACUUCAUAAGAAUGGGACGAAUAAGGAGGGGUUAACACCCCCUUUGAUGACGGUACCAUUUGUAAGCUCCGGCUAACUCCGUGCCAGCAGCCGCGGUAAUACGGGGGGAGCAAGCGUUGUUCGGAUUUACUGGGCGUAAAGGGCGCGUAGGCGGCGCAACAAGUCACUUGUGAAAUCUCCGGGCUUAACCCGGAGCGGCCAAGUGAUACUGUCGUGCUAGAGUGCGGAAGGGGCUACUGGAAUUCUCGGUGUAGCGGUGAAAUGCGUAGAUAUCGAGAGGAACACCUGCGGCGAAGGCGGGUAGCUGGGCCGACACUGACGCUGAGGCGCGAAAGCCAGGGGAGCGAACGGGAUUAGAUACCCCGGUAGUCCUGGCCUUAAACGAUGGAUACUUGGUGUCCGGGGUUACAUAGU
RNAcentral lists this ribosomal RNA (788 nucleotides) under uncultured Bacteroidota bacterium. RNAcentral's name for it is "bacterial SSU rRNA". It matches the Rfam family "Bacterial small subunit ribosomal RNA", at positions 70 to 837 of the family's 1533-position model. Lineage: Bacteria; Pseudomonadati; Bacteroidota. The record is from RNAcentral.